UACGUAGGGGGCAAGCGUUGUCCGGAUUUAUUGGGCGUAAAGAGCGUGUAGGCGGCUUGGCAAGUCCGCUGUGAAAACUCGAGGCUCAACCUCGAGACGUCGGUGGAAACUGCCUCGCUAGAGUCCGGAAGAGGAGAGUGGAAUUCCUGGUGUAGCGGUGAAAUGCGUAGAGAUCGGGAGGAACACCAGCGGCGAAGGCGGCAAACUGGAUAGGAACUGACACUCAACAACGAAAGCGUGGGGAGCAAACAGG
Molecule: ribosomal RNA, 253 nt
Filed under: uncultured bacterium
Lineage: Bacteria
Description: partial 16S ribosomal RNA
Rfam family: Bacterial small subunit ribosomal RNA
Source: RNAcentral